ACCUGCCUUCACUGGUUCGUGGCAGCCCGGCGUGCAUCCUCAUACAGGCUCACCUGGUCUCCUUACACCACGGGUCCCUGCACAUGCUCAUUAUGCUGCUCCUUCACCGCCCAUGUAUGCUGCACCAUCGCCGGCUCCCUAUGCCUCGCCGAUGCACUCGCCGAUGCCCUUUGCUAUGGGUCCUUAUGGCUUUUCGGCACCGGUCACCUAUAAUCCUGGAGGCUACUACUCGCCAUACACUAUGUCCUCGACUCCUGCUGCACCGCCACCAUCUGCGCCAGUACCUGCUCCGUCAACUGCACCGACUCCCUCUACUCCGAGCUGGGACCAAGCUGCGUUUCUUCAGGCUAUGAAUAAUUUUGCUGCUCAAGAAAAUUCAGGAUUUCAUGACCAAGGCGGAGAUCGUUCGCUUCGAUAGCUCUGGCGACCUCUACUACGUUCAUGGUGCUCCUGCGGUCUCGUCUCCAUCAUCCAUGCUCGCCUCCGUAGAUCUAUGGCAUCAACGCUUAGGCCAUCCGAAUAAAGCCACUUUAUCCUCUCUUCUUAGUGAUUUUUCGAUCCCCUGUAAUAAAGAGGCUCAUAAUCCCUCUAUUUGUGAGUUUUGUCAACAAGGAAAACAUGUUCGUUUACCAUUUGUGCAUUCUAA
Molecule: long non-coding RNA, 646 nt
Organism: Lolium rigidum
Lineage: Eukaryota; Viridiplantae; Streptophyta; Magnoliopsida; Poales; Poaceae
Exons: 2
Source: RefSeq, a predicted model, not a curated record